This is a small nuclear RNA of Hyaena hyaena (striped hyena), 164 nucleotides long. RefSeq annotates it as U1 spliceosomal RNA. Lineage: Eukaryota; Metazoa; Chordata; Mammalia; Carnivora; Hyaenidae. The transcript has a single exon. The record is from RefSeq and is a predicted model, not a curated record.
AUAUUUACAUGGCAAGAGGGUUACCAUGAUGGCAAAGGUGGUUUUCUCAGUGUGAGGCCCAUCCAUUGCACUCUGGAUGUAGUGACCUCUGUGACUUCCCCAAAAGUGGAAAACUUGCCUGCACGAUUGGUGGUAUUAGGGGACUGCAAUCACACCUCCCCCUA